Molecule: long non-coding RNA, 357 nt
Organism: Dendrobium catenatum
Lineage: Eukaryota; Viridiplantae; Streptophyta; Magnoliopsida; Asparagales; Orchidaceae
Exons: 3
Source: RefSeq, a predicted model, not a curated record
AUUUUGAUGGUUGAUGGUGAUUAUAUGCCUAAUAUAAGUUGUAUUGAAUUGUUGUGGCCUCACAUGUUUUCCUGUUUUUAUUGUUGUUUAUUUUUUCAUUGUCAGGUUGUGUGAAGGCGGGGAAUUGUUAGAUAGAAUCUUAUCCAGAGGUGGAAGGUAUAUGGAGGAAGAUGCAAAGGGAAUUGUUUCGCAGAUUUUGAGUGUAGUUGCCUUUUGUCAUCUACAAGGUGUUGUGCAUCGUGAUCUAAAACCGGAGAACUUUCUCUUCACUACUAGGGAUGAAAAUGCACCCAUGAAGAUUAUUGAUUUUGGCCUUUCAGAUUUUAUCCGACCAGGUACUAAGUUCUAUACAGAAAU